This 1508-nucleotide long non-coding RNA is filed under the name Nicotiana benthamiana. RNAcentral's name for it is "long non-coding RNA (NBEN_LNC020635)". The record is from RNAcentral. Lineage: Eukaryota; Viridiplantae; Streptophyta; Magnoliopsida; Solanales; Solanaceae.
AAUUGUGUAAUAUCGCAGAUGAACUUAAAUCCAAAACAGAAAUGGGUUAAUCAUAAUGCGAAUAAAAAAUAACUAGGAAAUUUGAAAGUUGUGAACAUAAACAUUUAAUAAAACUACAGCCCUUUAUAUUUCGAACUUCUAGCAAACAAACUUGCACCUCUUCAUUUCAUAUGUUAGUGAGAUGAAAAAUACCUAGAAAUAAAAGAAACAAUGCAGCAAGUUUCAGCAGAAGGAAAAACAGCAUCAACCAACUCUAAACCCAACAAUAGAGCAAUAAAGACCACAUCAAAAUCCACACUAGACUUCAAUUACUUGAAACUCAAUCCAUUUUAAGCCAGAAUGCAAAAUUACGAAUUUCAGUGAUGUGAACUAGCUUAUUAAGACCAAAAGAACCAAACACAGGCAGGUAUUUUUUGUAUUUUUAAGAGAAUGCUAGGGAUUCAAGGUUAUUUUUCAGAGUUUCUUCAGGACUGUCAGCCGUUUCAGUUUUUGGGUGAUUUCUAUCUCUUAAUUUCCGACUUGAGAGUCAUGUUAGGAUGCCUUUACAAGCAAGGGACUAGGGAAGCAGUAGAAUGUUUAGAUUUUGCAAUUUUACCCUUUUAAAAUCUUCAUUUUAGCUUAGGUAUCACUUGUUUAAUUUUCAAAAUUCAAAUAGGCCCCCACCCUAGCUUCCUAGAAGCAUUAUGUAGUAGUUACUAAAGAUUUCUCUAUUUAUUUUUCCUAAUUUGACACUUGCAACUCUGUUAAAUACCCAAGAACUUGAACGGGUUCUGAAUCAAGCUGGCCCAAAAAUUAAUCUUGCCCUGGGCUCAAGAGAAACUACUCAGAUAUUUGCCCAUUUGUGCUUUUUAAUUUUCCGAAAAAAUUCAAGCCAUAAAUCACUAUCGAAAAUCUUAAUGGGGUGAAUGAGACAAAAUUAAAUUAAAGAAAAUAAUGGAUUAGUUAAUUCUAAGGAGACAAUCGAACAAACUGUAGUUUUAACAAACUAAAGCAUGCAAACAUGGCAGAUAAAUAUUAAAAAAACAAACAUAUGACAAAGAGGAGAAGAGGAGAUGGAAAAAAGAUUAAGGCAUGCGUUUAAACGAAAAAUAAGAAAAGGAAAAUGCAAGAAAUAGAACGAGAACUAAGAAUACCCCACGAUGAAUGAAUAAAAUCACAGCAUAUUCUUAAAAGGAUCCUCAAUUUUUUGCCAAAAUAGGCCUUCAUCAUGCGUUCUCGACUGAAAACACAUAAUUAAGGUCGACUUUGCCUUCAAAUUCUUCGAGACCUCGCCUAUCUGGCCUUUUUGGGAUUUUGGGUUAAUAUUUUUAAUCAAGAUUCGAACGAUUAUGGGGAGAUGUGAAGAAAAUGGAGUGGGGAUUUGGAAUAAGGAGGGCUUGGGAGUCAUGUAGUGUUAAUUUAGGAGUGUUUGGAAUAGGCGCCGCCACCGGUGGUGGUUGGAAAUUUUGGGCGGCGGCUAGGAUUCUAUGAACGGUCUCUAAGAGAGGAAGUUAGAAGAGACAAGAUGG